GACGAACGCUGGCGGCGUGCCUAAUACAUGCAAGUCGAACGCUUUUUUCAAUCAUCGUAGCUUGCUACACCGAUUGAAAAUUGAGUGGCGAACGGGUGAGUAACACGUGGGUAACCUGCCCAAAAGAGGGGGAUAACACUUGGAAACAGGUGCUAAUACCGCAUAACCAUGAUGACCGCAUGGUCAUUAUGUAAAAGAUGGUUUCGGCUAUCACUUUUGGAUGGACCCGCGGCGUAUUAACUUGUUGGUGGGGUAACGGCCUACCAAGGUAAUGAUACGUAGCCGAACUGAGAGGUUGAUCGGCCACAUUGGGACCGAGACACGGCCCAAACUCCUACGGGAGGCAGCAGUAGGGAAUCUUCCACAAUGGGCGCAAGCCUGAUGGAGCAACGCCGCGUGAGUGAAGAAGGUCUUCGGAUCGUAAAACUCUGUUGUUAGAGAAGAACAUGCGAGAGAG
Molecule: ribosomal RNA, 457 nt
Filed under: uncultured Lactobacillus sp.
Lineage: Bacteria; Bacillati; Bacillota; Bacilli; Lactobacillales; Lactobacillaceae
Description: bacterial SSU rRNA
Rfam family: Bacterial small subunit ribosomal RNA
Source: RNAcentral